This 62-nucleotide transfer RNA is filed under the name Camelus bactrianus (Bactrian camel). It matches the Rfam family "tRNA". Rfam says of the family: Transfer RNA (tRNA) molecules are approximately 80 nucleotides in length. Their secondary structure includes four short double-helical elements and three loops (D, anti-codon, and T loops). RNAcentral also lists the same sequence under 3 other names. The record is from Rfam by way of RNAcentral. Lineage: Eukaryota; Metazoa; Chordata; Mammalia; Artiodactyla; Camelidae.
GAGAGUAUAGCUCAAGGUAGAGUGCAUGCAGGAGGUCCUGGGUUCAAUCCCCAGUACCUCCU